RNAcentral lists this ribosomal RNA (466 nucleotides) under uncultured bacterium. Its description in RNAcentral is "bacterial LSU rRNA". It matches the Rfam family "Bacterial large subunit ribosomal RNA", at positions 716 to 1180 of the family's 2925-position model. The record is from RNAcentral.
CGAAACCGGGCGAUCUAUCCAUGACCAGGGUGAAGGUUGGGUAACACCAACUGGAGGCCCGAACCGAAAUCUGUUGAAAAAGAUUCGGAUGAGUUGUGGAUCGGAGUGAAAGGCUAAACAAACUUGGAAAUAGCUGGUUCUCUCCGAAAACUAUUUAGGUAGUGCCUCAAGUAUCACCGACGGGGGUAAAGCACUGUUAUGGCUAGGGGGUCAUCGCGACUUACCAAACCAUUGCAAACUCAGAAUACCGUUGAGUGCGAGCUUGGGAGACAGACAUCGGGUGCUAACGUCCGGUGUCGAGAGGGAAACAACCCAGACCGCCGAUUAAGGUCCCCAAGCCAUAGUUAAGUGGGAAACGAGGUGGGAAGGCUCAGACAGCCAGGAGGUUGGCUUAGAAGCAGCCAUCCUUUAAAGAAAGCGUAAUAGCUCACUGGUCGAGUCGUCCUGCGCGGAAGAUGUAACGGGG